RNAcentral lists this ribosomal RNA (240 nucleotides) under uncultured bacterium. RNAcentral's name for it is "partial 16S ribosomal RNA". It matches the Rfam family "Bacterial small subunit ribosomal RNA", at positions 333 to 575 of the family's 1533-position model. The record is from RNAcentral.
AUUUUCCUACGGGGGGCAGCAGUGGGGAAUAUUGCACAAUGGGGGAACCCUGAUGCAGCGACGCCGCGUGGGUGAAGGAGCACCUCGGUGCGUAAAGCCCUAUCGGCAGGGGAGAAAAGCGAACAGGUUCGCCUGGACGGAACCUGACUAAGAAGCCCCGGCUAACUACGUGCCAGCAGCAGCGGGAAUACGUAGGGGGCAAGCGUUAUCCGGAUUCACUGGGGGUAAAGGGAGCGUAGA